UACGAAGGGGGCUAGCGUUACUCGGAAUUACUGGGCGUAAAGGGCGCGUAGGCGGCGCACCAAGUUAGGCGUGAAAGUCCUGGGCUCAACCUGGGAACUGCGCUUGAUACUGGUGUGCUUGAGGAUGGAAGAGGGUUGUGGAAUUCCCAGUGUAGAGGUGAAAUUCGUAGAUAUUGGGAAGAACACCGGUGGCGAAGGCGGCAACCUGGUCCAUUACUGACGCUGAGGCGCGACAGCGUGGGGAGCAAAC
RNAcentral lists this ribosomal RNA (250 nucleotides) under uncultured bacterium. RNAcentral's name for it is "partial 16S ribosomal RNA". It matches the Rfam family "Bacterial small subunit ribosomal RNA", at positions 524 to 773 of the family's 1533-position model. The record is from RNAcentral.